Molecule: RNA transcript, 641 nt
Organism: Panicum virgatum (switchgrass)
Lineage: Eukaryota; Viridiplantae; Streptophyta; Magnoliopsida; Poales; Poaceae
Gene name: light-regulated protein 1, chloroplastic-like
Exons: 3
Source: RefSeq, a predicted model, not a curated record
AGGGCAGGCUGGCGGCGAGGAGCACGGUGGUCGCUCGUGUCCCGGCCACAAGGAGGAGCGUCCGCGCCACCGUGGCCGCCGCCAUCGUCGCGGCGGACCCUGCCGAGGUCGACUACAGCUCGAGCUUCUCGGUGUUCCCCAUGGAGGCCUGCGAGCUGCUCGGCGGCGACGCCUGCAGCGCGCAGAUGUACCCGGAGGCUAAGCUCGCCGGCGCGGCGGAGGCGGCCGCGGGCAGGAGGGAGGAGGAGGUGGAGAGGGACUACCUGUCCUACGACGAGCCGAAGACGGUGUUCCCCGGCGAGGCGUGCGACGACCUCGGCGGCGAGUUCUGCGAGGCGCCGUACCAGGCCGGCGUGUCCAGGGAGCUGGCGCACGCCUGAUCCAUCGUCCAUCUAUCCGCAACAUGAAUUGAUCUCGCCGUCGAGUCGAUGGGUGAUGGGUCCAUAUGCUGCUAUGCACGUACGUGUUGCAGAUGAUACUCGAGUGGUGGAGGGGAAGCUAGCCUACGUGUGCUAGAAUAACAGCAGCCAAGCAAGGCCAAGGACGAUGUCACGUGUGUAAUUGUGCAUGACUUGGGUCGUGCCAGCUGUGCCUGUCUGUAGAAACUAAAGAUGAAAUACUACGAUCCGUAUCGCUUUACA